Molecule: long non-coding RNA, 92 nt
Organism: Maniola jurtina (meadow brown)
Lineage: Eukaryota; Metazoa; Arthropoda; Insecta; Lepidoptera; Nymphalidae
Exons: 3
Source: RefSeq, a predicted model, not a curated record
AAAUGGCGGCCGAUGCAGCUCUAGUUUCAAUUUUGCCCACCUGAACAGACAAGUUGGUGGCACUGUAAGCUAUCAAUACAGAAUUUUGAUUC